Molecule: small RNA, 56 nt
Filed under: Pelobates cultripes (western spadefoot toad)
Lineage: Eukaryota; Metazoa; Chordata; Amphibia; Anura; Pelobatidae
Source: RNAcentral
GAUACCGGUGGUGGCACUCCUGAAUCUCAGGACGGGGUUCAAAUCCCUGCGGUGUC